GCCAGAGAAGCAGCAUGUCCCCUCUCAUACACCGUAGGUACUUGAAGUUUGGCACCGCAAAAAGGAUCAUGUACAAGGUAGCAGGGGUGGCUGCUGUGCCUGUAACUCUCAGCCUGAUGUCAGGUACUGUGUUAGCUGCCGCCGAGGACAAGCCCAAUGUCACCUUAAAUACAAAUGAGCUCUCCCUCUACACUACACCGCAGCAGAAGUUCCGCUAUGUGGAGCCAGAUAUAGGGCACUUGGAGCCAGGUGUUACCACUCUAAGGAAACUGGCAGAGCCAUAUGUUACUCGGUGUCAGAAUGGUGUCGUCUGCGUAGAGGUGGAUCAAAUAAUCACCAGCAGCGAGAGCGACAUCAUUGAUGUAUACAGAGAAGAGAGUCGGCCCGAGAAUUGAACCCUGUGGCACCCCCAUAGAGACUGCCAGAGGUCCGGACAACAGGCCCUCCGAUUUGCCACAGUGAACUCUAUCAGAGAAGUAGUUGGUGAACCAGUCGAGGCAAUCAUUUGAGAAACCAUGGCUGUUGAGUCUGCCAAUAAGAAUGUUGUGAUUGACAGAGUCGAAAGCCUUAGCCAGGUCGAUGAAUACGGCUGCACAGUAAUGUCUCUUAUCAGUUGCGGUUAUGAUAUCGUUUAGUACCUUGAGCGUGGCUGAGGUGCACCCAUGACCAGCUCUGAAAGUGUUUCCUAGCCUUAGUGCAGUGGGCAGCUGGGAGGAGGUGCUCUUAUUCUCCAUGGAGUUUGUGCUACAGGAUGCAAAUUUCUGCUAGCCUUAGCUUUCCUAACUGCCUGUGUAUAAUUGUUCCUAACUUCCCUGAAAAGUUGCAUAUCACGGCGGCAGUAAAUCUGUACAUUUCACAUGGAUCAGUAGACCUUUACUGUGAAUUCAUGCUGCAAUCGAUAAUCAUUGCACGUGUUGGAAUGAUUUUGUCUGUCUGCUGUGAAGUGUUAGUUGUGAUUGUGCUGCUCUGCUUCUGCCCAUGUGAUCACACCAACGAUCUGCUACCCUUUUAGCAAACAAGCCAUUCGACAGUGGAAAAGGUUCAGGUACUCCCCAUAGCCACGAACACAUACACUUGUGUACACACACACACACAGAAUCAUCAUAAACUCAAAGAGGGGGAUAAAGAUUAAGCUGAUUAGUUAAUUUUAAGAGACUGGUAAAGUACUCUAUAAAGAAUGUAAAAAUUCACAGGUACUGCUGACACAUGCCAGACCUUACAAUGCCUGGAUAGGUCCUUUUUUUGUAUCAGCUAACCACAUCAUAUGUUUUAGCAAUCUGUGAGUCGAUGACACACUCAACCAUUGGUUGAUGCAUGCAACGUCUGAGUAGGGGAUCUCGACAUCUGUGUUUGUCACUGUGUUCACUGUUUCUUAGUUGCCCUCCUUACCUCUCCCCAUUGACUCUUUCAGUCCAGAGAUAAGCAGCUCAUUAACAUACAGCACAUGUUUGUCAGUACAGCGACUUGGCUGGAACUUUAUUGGUAGUUGUUCUUGUACAGUGCAGAAUGUCUUUACAAUGAGUCAAUGGUACACAAAGUGCUGUGGUUUGAUGUUCAACUCAAGCACUCUACUGGAUAACAGAAUGGCCAGUGCUUAAGGCCCACAGAACUGGAUGAGGUUUCUGGGGGCAUGGCAGUCCUACCACUAGUUAUACUACCAGUACAAACAACGUAAAGCAUCACAGGUGCACAGUGUGCUCAGUAACCUUAAAUUUAAGACUAUUUGGCAAGAGCAUAUUUACUAUGAAAUAUAGUAUUAUCAUGUUAUCAUAUUAUUAAAUGUGAACUUAUUCUUUAACAAUUAAAAAUAAGCAUUUAUCCAUUCUUGAAUAGCUGUCAAGGUGCAGACAUUGGGUGAUAUUACCGGAUGUAUGUUACAUGUUCACUGUACUGUCCUCUCCUGUAGGGUUCAGGGUACCAUUGUAAAAGUGAAGCCCAAGGUUGAAAGUGCCAUCCAAUUAGGAAGUGGUAAGAAAACACACACCCCGUGAUACACACAAAGUGCACACAUUACUCAUUACUGUGAUCCUGUGUGGCUCAGUUGUUAAAGCAUGGUGCUUGUAAUGCGUGGGUUCAAUUCCCACUGGGGCCACUCAGUGGGACACCUGACUGUUUAGUAGUUACUUUGGAUUGGGUUGCGGUCUAUGGAUUUGCUGGUAUCGUUGGACUCUUUCUUGCAAGAGGUAUUAGUUUUGAGUUUGGAUGACGAGUACCCUGUUUUUUUUAUCUCCAUUGUGUGUUUGGGUUUAUCCACUUUGUCUCUGUGUUUAAGCAAACACUCUGUAUCAGUGAGUCUCUGAGCUAGAGUCUGGUCUAGCGGUAGAGCUGUUGCCUCCAGACCAUAUCAAAUAUCAGGCCUACUACUGCUUCCUGUUGCCCUAUCCAGUUUUUCCUUUCUUGCUUCUAAUCUAUCUUCUUGAAUAAAAAUAGUCUGUGGUCCCCACUCUUGUGUCUCCUGGGCUCCAGGGUGAAGAAGCUCAUCUACCCUACAGGGCUGAUGGCUGCGGGACACUAUGUACUACCCCCAAGCGGCCGCAUCAAUCGCCAAGAACACUCGUUGUACGAUUUCGCCCUGCAGGGCUACGCUAACAUAGAGACAUUUUUCAAGUCCACCACCACCACACCUGUAGAGGGGAAGCCAAUGAAAAACAAGAGGAAAACAGCUCAGCUGCAGAGUCCGAAACCUGAACAUUUCUGCACAAUACCAGUCUUCCAGCACCUUCAUUGACCUGGUGGUCAAUUAGCCUCUUGAUCAGCCUGCAGAUGUAUAGAACACCCCAAUCACUUGUCAAUUCAUGAUAAAACACAGUGUACUUUACAUAGCAGGUGCUUAUGCUAACAAAUUAUUGCAGCUAAAGGCUUAGUGACUUAUUUCAGAUAAGGUGUGAUAGGAUCGACAAAGAUUAGCAGUAUUCCCAGGUAUAACAGGUCCAGCUCCCUGUAUGCUACUGUACAUAUUGUUAGGCUAACUCCCAAAUCUGCAAUAUCCCAGUGUUUCUCUGGCAUUUACCCAGGACCAGUCACUUAGGUUAUAAAAUGUAUGUUCAAUUUUGUGAUUUAAAUGUACUGUAUCUAUGUUGACCUGAAAAUGUUUUGUAUCUAUUGACAACAUUGCUUUUUUUACAGUAAACUAAAGGCCACAAAAAAAUACUAUAAUGGCACUCUAGGCAUGUGAGGACAAAUGAGUGGGAAAAAAAAUACUUGUUUGACAAGACAUUUAAGAGUCCUGUCCUUCCAUAAACAAGCCCCUACUUCUGAGCCAGACGUUAUCAUUGGUAGAAAAACAUAAGGAGUUUCGAAAGCAACAUGCCGAUUCCUCUAUGUGCUAGUACACAAUCACAUGACUAGCUGAUGUCAGUAUAGUUCUGGGGUGAUGUUAAAUGUUUAAGACAUCAGUUGACUUAGGUAUCCCCAUUUCCUUGAUGAAGGUAGGUCACUCACAACCAGUCAGAUGCAAGUAAAUUGAACUUGCUGACUU
RNA transcript from Oncorhynchus keta (chum salmon), 3478 nucleotides. It is a transcript of the gene named MICOS complex subunit MIC26-like, with no coding region annotated. The record is from RefSeq and is a predicted model, not a curated record. Lineage: Eukaryota; Metazoa; Chordata; Actinopteri; Salmoniformes; Salmonidae. The transcript is spliced from 6 exons.